UAGGGAAUCUUCCACAAUGGACGCAAGUCUGAUGGAGCAACGCCGCGUGAGUGAAGAAGGUUUUCGGAUCGUAAAGCUCUGUUGUUGGUGAAGAAGGAUAGAGGCAGUAACUGGUCUUUAUUUGACGGUAAUCAACCAGAAAGUCACGGCUAACUACGUGCCAGCAGCCGCGGUAAUACGUAGGUGGCAAGCGUUGUCCGGAUUUAUUGGGCGUAAAGCGAGCGCAGGCGGAAUGAUAAGUCUGAUGUGAAAGCCCACGGCUCAACCGUGGAACUGCAUCGGAAACUGUCAUUCUUGAGUGCAGAAGAGGAGAGUGGAACUCCAUGUGUAGCGGUGGAAUGCGUAGAUAUAUGGAAGAACACCAGUGGCGAAGGCGGCUCUCUGGUCUGCAACUGACGCUGAGGCUCGAAAGCAUGGGUAGCGAACAGGAUUAGAUACCCUGGUAGUCCAUGCCGUAAACGAUGAGCGCUAGGUGUUGGGGACUUUCCGGUUCUCAGUGCCGCAGCAAACGCAUUAAGCGCUCCGCCUGGGGAGUACGACCGCAAGGUUGAAAC
RNAcentral lists this ribosomal RNA (554 nucleotides) under uncultured bacterium. Its description in RNAcentral is "partial 16S ribosomal RNA". It matches the Rfam family "Bacterial small subunit ribosomal RNA", at positions 355 to 900 of the family's 1533-position model. The record is from RNAcentral.